CCUACGGGUGGCAGCAGUGGGGAAUAUUGGGCAAUGGGCGCAAGCCUGACCCAGCAACGCCGCGUGAGGGAAGAAGGCUUUAGGGUUGUAAACCUCUUUUAGUGAGGACGAAACUGAUGAUGGUACUCAAAGAAUAAGCCACUGCUAACGACGUGCCAGCAGCCGCGGUAAUACGGAGGUGGGAAGUGUUAGCAGGAUUUACGGGGUGUAAAGGGCGUGUAGGCGGGAAUGCAAGUCAGAUGUGAAACCCAAGGGGUCAACCCAUGGCCUGCAGUUGAAACUGUGGUUCUUGAGUGAGGGAGAGGCAGGCGGAAUGCCGUGUGUAGCGGUGAAAUGCGUAGAUAUAAGGAGGAACACCAGUGGCGAAGGCGGCCUGCUGGACAUUAACUGACGCUGAGGCGCGAAAGCGUGGGGAGCAAACAGGAUUAGAUACCCGAGUAGUC
Molecule: ribosomal RNA, 443 nt
Filed under: uncultured bacterium
Lineage: Bacteria
Description: partial 16S ribosomal RNA
Rfam family: Bacterial small subunit ribosomal RNA
Source: RNAcentral